RNAcentral lists this small RNA (156 nucleotides) under Eubacterium uniforme. RNAcentral describes it as "Clostridiales-1 RNA". It matches the Rfam family "Clostridiales-1 RNA". The record is from Rfam by way of RNAcentral. Lineage: Bacteria; Bacillati; Bacillota; Clostridia; Eubacteriales; Eubacteriaceae.
AUAUAUAACGCAGAUGAAAUAAAAUAAUCAUCUGCUUGAAGAAUGAUUAUUUUAUUUAAGAUGCUAACAACCAUGAGGAAGGAGGACGAUAGUCCGGAUUCCGAAUGGUUGUAGAAUUACGAGAAAAACGAAGUUUUGGAGUAAUUCGUUAUAUAU